CAUGUGUGCGAGUCAACGGG
RNAcentral lists this small nuclear RNA (20 nucleotides) under Arabidopsis thaliana (thale cress). Its description in RNAcentral is "snRNA_02729". The record is from RNAcentral. Lineage: Eukaryota; Viridiplantae; Streptophyta; Magnoliopsida; Brassicales; Brassicaceae.